GAUCGAUGCUCAUAAUGUUGAUCACUGGAUUAUCUGGUCCAGACGCGAUUAUUUACAGACCGCCACUGCCGCCAUAUAGCUGGAAUAUUGCUGAGUGCGGCGUAAAACUAAACUCAUUCACUUCGUGUGACGUCAUCCAUGCACAUGGAAAAAAGUGCUGCAACAUAUGUGGUUAUUAAUCACCAUAUAGCCAUUUAUAUUCAUAUCAUAAUUAUAUUUGUUUGUGUGAUUAUUUUGACCCAUCCGUCGCAUUAAAUAUUUCAGUAAACUGUUA
Long non-coding RNA from Haliotis rubra (blacklip abalone), 274 nucleotides. RefSeq lists it as uncharacterized. The transcript is spliced from 2 exons. Lineage: Eukaryota; Metazoa; Mollusca; Gastropoda; Lepetellida; Haliotidae. The record is from RefSeq and is a predicted model, not a curated record.